AGCCAGUGUGGUGUAGUGGUCUGAAUGUUGGAAUAUAACUCUGGAGACCACGGUUCAAAUCCCUGCUUGGUUG
Phrynosoma platyrhinos (Desert horned lizard) is the source of this 73-nucleotide non-coding RNA. The record is from the annotation of a GenBank genome assembly. Lineage: Eukaryota; Metazoa; Chordata; Lepidosauria; Squamata; Phrynosomatidae.